CUUUAAAUGUUUAAAAAUUAACAGUUUUACCUUUCCUGUCAUGUUCCGUAGAAGUUUCUCUUAUACCUGUGACAAACAUGUAGUAACAAUAUCAUAAUAUUUCAUCGUGGAAACACAACUAAAAAAGGCUGUUUUCGGUAUUUUCAAAACUAACAAUUUGACAAUUGGCCACGUUUUUCUUUACUACCGGUGAUGAAUAAGAUUUUCGCAAAUAUUGUGUUGAAUAUAAUUUCUGAUUCGAUUCCGUCCUAGACUGUUUAAAUGAGUUUAAACUCCCUCCUACAAGUGCACCACUCUACUCGGGAGAAACUGACACACCCUAAUGAAACACACCACACCUGUUAACCCUCAAGGAAUUUCACCCCACACAACGACACCACCGCACUCUGCCUCUGAGAACAAUAUGCACGAAGACACCUAAGAAAAAAGGGAUCAUCGCAAAACGGACAUUCGAUUUUUGGAAAGCUGCUACAGCGAUCCUAUAUAUUGGUUUUCGCUAUACGAACCUGGGCGCUACUUUUUUUGACGCAUUUUUAAUUCGUUAUAUAAACUAAUUUGUGCUUUUAUUCAUUGUGUAUACAACAUUAAAUAUACAACAUAUUGUAUAGAAGUGAAAUAAAUUGCUUACGCCCCAUAUGCGGGCAUUUUGAUUAAAAAGUA
This is a non-coding RNA of Bactrocera oleae (olive fruit fly), 660 nucleotides long. NCBI's taxonomy places the organism in Eukaryota, Metazoa, Arthropoda, Insecta, Diptera, Tephritidae. The record is from RefSeq and is a predicted model, not a curated record.